Molecule: ribosomal RNA, 490 nt
Filed under: uncultured bacterium
Lineage: Bacteria
Description: partial 16S ribosomal RNA
Rfam family: Bacterial small subunit ribosomal RNA
Source: RNAcentral
AUUGAACGCUGGCGGCAGGCCUAACACAUGCCAGUCGAACGGUAACAGGAAGAAGCUUGCUUCUUUGCUGACGAGUGGCGGACGGGUGAGUAAUGUCUGGGAAACUGCCUGAUGGAGGGGGAUAACUACUGGAAACGGUAGCUAAUACCGCAUAACGUCGCAAGACCAAAGAGGGGGACCUUCGGGCCUCUUGCCAUCGGAUGUGCCCAGAUGGGAUUAGCUAGUAGGUGGGGUAACGGCUCACCUAGGCGACGAUCCCUAGCUGGUCUGAGAGGAUGACCAGCCACACUGGAUCUGAGACACGGUCCAGACUCCUACGGGAGGCAGCAGUGGGGAAUAUUGCACAAUGGGCGCAAGCCUGAUGCAGCCAUGCCGCGUGUAUGAAGAAGGCCUUCGGGUUGUAAAGUACUUUCAGCGGGGAGGAAGGGAGUAAAGUUAAUACCUUUGCUCAUUGACGUUACCCGCAGAAGAAGCACCGGCUAACUCCGUG